Heterocephalus glaber (naked mole-rat) is the source of this 707-nucleotide long non-coding RNA. Lineage: Eukaryota; Metazoa; Chordata; Mammalia; Rodentia; Bathyergidae. The record is from Ensembl.
AAUGCAUUAUGGGCUCUGCCAGACACACAGCAUUUUAAGCUUAUGUAAAUUAUCAGCUAUUAAUAUUAUGUUAUUGUUCCCUUGACAUUGACUUGUGAAUCACCACACUCUGCUGGUCAUAUUUCUCUACUUUGUGAAACGGACAUAAUCAAAAGACAAAAGGAGACAUAGUAAAGAAAGGCAUUGGAGGGAUCUGCACCCUCCAACCACCUACUGUGGGGCAGGUCAACUUCAGAGAUGGCCAUCGCCCUGGACAAAGAGUCCCACUGUAUGGUCCAGGCUGGCCUCAAACUCUCAGCAAUCAUCCAGCCUCAGCUUCCUGAGUGCUGAGAUUACAAGCAUGUACCACCACGCCCAGCACAUUCACGUUUUACUGAAUUUAAGGAGUUAUUCAACAGGAAUUCUGACUACUCUUGAUGGAAGAGCACACCUGGUGAGUGGGACAGGAAAAGUGUUAUCUUGCUAGAAGAGUAAAGAAACUGAGGCCUGGAGCAUAGUGAGAAGUGACACUUGCCUAAGGAGCUCACCUGUGUUCACAUGCUGAUCCCUACAGUCCCCUGACCUUGAACCUGAGCAUUUUGCCACUUAACCCAGGGACACUUUACAGUGGAAUAGCCUGAGAAUUGUUGCUCUGUGGGCCACCAGCAAUCCAGGCUCUCCCAGCAGCCCCUCUGGAGGCUCCUACAAGACCAGCCUAUAACUGCUAC